Molecule: long non-coding RNA, 816 nt
Filed under: Coffea arabica (coffee)
Lineage: Eukaryota; Viridiplantae; Streptophyta; Magnoliopsida; Gentianales; Rubiaceae
Description: long non-coding RNA (CARA_LNC003978)
Source: RNAcentral
ACGCCAACAUAUUGACACUUCUAGUUUUCAAACACAUUAAGAUCAGAUCAGAAUAAAACAAAGGGCUAAUUAGAAACUGCCUCUUGAUUUGACCAAGUCCGCGGCUGCCAACAACAAGAACGUCCACGUGCAUUCGUUCUACUGCCUCACAAAUCAUUUCCUUGGGAUCUCCCUCAAGAAUGAGGGUUUCUGCAGCGACCUACGUGCAAAUAUAUAGCCAUAUCCAAGAAUCAGCACUUCUCAAUAUGGCUUACUUUCGAAUGCUUCUCCAAAAUGAUAGUACUACAUGGUUUGACACGCACGGAAAAAAAAAAAGAAGAAGAAAAGAAAGAAGCUCCUGCAAUGUUCAUACUAGUACUGCUAACUAGAUAAUGACCUUUCUGUCCUUGCACAUACGGGAUGCCUGCGAGAGUAUUUUUGCAGCAUUUUGCUCCCGGGCUUUGGUGGCAGACUCGACCACUGGAAAUGUUAGAUUUCACGCAUAUAAUACUUGGGCAAAAAAUAACAUCAAUGGCAGCACCAAAAGCACUAGUAGUAGCUACUAGUUCAGAAUAGACAGACUAUGGAAUUGCAGAACAUACUUUUGUGUUUGUAAUUGCAUUAAUGGUGAUAUCACUAGUUGCUGUGUAAUUAAUUUAUAACAACCACGACGUACCGUAUCCGCCCGGGAAGACGUAGUGAGGCAAGCGAUCCAUGACAUGGACGAGGGAAACGAGGUUGGACUCCACUCGAUGGUCGUGUUGAUGAUCAGGUGUUUCAGUACCAGUUGGUAGCGUACUCAUCACGAUGUUACUGAAAAAUUUAUCCAGAACCCAA